GCUAGGUGUGGUGGUGCAUGCCUGUAGUCCCAACCACUCAGGAGGCUGAGACAAGGGGAUCACUUUAGCCCAGGAGGUCAGGGGUGUAGUGAGCCAUGAUUGGAUCAGUUCACUUCAGCCUCAGCAACAGAGUGAGACCUUGUCUCAA
Molecule: non-coding RNA, 148 nt
Filed under: Chlorocebus sabaeus (green monkey)
Lineage: Eukaryota; Metazoa; Chordata; Mammalia; Primates; Cercopithecidae
Source: Rfam by way of RNAcentral